This 495-nucleotide ribosomal RNA is filed under the name uncultured bacterium. Its description in RNAcentral is "partial 16S ribosomal RNA". It matches the Rfam family "Bacterial small subunit ribosomal RNA", at positions 28 to 507 of the family's 1533-position model. The record is from RNAcentral.
GAUGAACGCUGGCGGCGUGCCUAAUACAUGCAAGUCGAACGCUGAAGGAGGAGCUUGCUCUUCUGGAUGAGUUGCGAACGGGUGAGUAACGCGUAGGUAACCUGCCUGGUAGCGGGGGAUAACUAUUGGAAACGAUAGCUAAUACCGCAUGACAACAGUUAUUGCAUGAUAACUGUUUAAAAGGGGCAACUGCUCCACUACCAGAUGGACCUGCGUUGUAUUAGCUAGUUGGUGAGGUAACGGCUCACCAAGGCGACGAUACAUAGCCGACCUGAGAGGGUGAUCGGCCACACUGGGACUGAGACACGGCCCAGACUCCUACGGGAGGCAGCAGUAGGGAAUCUUCGGCAAUGGACGGAAGUCUGACCGAGCAACGCCGCGGGAGUGAAGAAGGUUGUCGGAUCGUAAAGCUCUGUUGUAAGAGAAGAACGAGUGUGAGAGUGGAAAGUUCACACUGUGACGGUAGCUGACCAGAAAGGGACGGCUAACUACGUG